CGUCUCUGUACCUAGAAGCAUGGCGUUUAGGACCCAGAGGAAGCUCCUGGGCGGUCCACCGGGCAGUGAGAGAUUCCCCCUCCCUCCCUCGGUGUGCAGCUCAGAUGUCCCGGUAGUCUGUAGUCGUCUGUAGUCGUGGCUCUGGCGCUCCGCAUCCACCAUCUGCGGCAGCAGGGGCUGGCGGCCCAGGCCCCUGCCCAGCCCCUUCCUUCAACCCCAUGUCUCAGCCUUAACCUGGCUGCCCUCCCCAUCGGGGGACAUUUCUCGGUGCCCCUUGCCCGCCCCGUCCAACUCGGGCGCCAUGAAUGACCAGUAUCACCGGGCCGCCAGGGAUGGCUAUCUGGAGCUCCUCAAGGAAGCCACCCGGAAGGAGCUGAAUGCCCCUGACGAAGAUGGCAUGACCCCGACCCUCUGGGCUGCCUACCAUGGCAACCUGGAAUCGCUGCGCCUCAUUGUGAGCCGCGGGGGUGACCCGGAUAAGUGUGACAUCUGGGGAAACACACCCUUGCAUCUGGCAGCUUCCAAUGGCCACCUGCACUGCCUGUCCUUCCUCGUGUCCUUCGGGGCCAACAUCUGGUGCCUGGACAAUGACUACCACACGCCGCUGGACAUGGCCGCGAUGAAGGGCCACAUGGAGUGCGUGCGCUAUCUGGACUCCAUCGCGGCCAAGCAAAGCAGCCUCAACCCCAAGCUGGUGGGCAAGCUGAAGGACAAGGCCUUCCGCGAGGCGGAGCGGCGCAUCCGCGAGUGCGCCAAGAUGCAACGCAAGCACCACGAGCGGAUGGAGCGUCGCUACCGGCGCGAGCUGGCCGAGCGCUCCGACACGCUCAGCUUCUCCAGCCUCACGUCCAGCACCCUGAGCCGCCGGCUGCAGCACAUGACGCUGGGCAGCCAGCUGCCCUACUCGCAGGCCACGCUGCACGGCACGGCCAAGGGCAAGGCCAAGAUCCAGAAGAAGCUGGAGAGGCGCAAGCAGGGGGGCGAGGGCACCUUCAAAGUCUCCGAGGACGGGCGCAAAAGCGUCCGAUCGCUCUCGGGCCUGCAGCUGGGUAGCGAUGUGAUGUUUGUUCGCCAAGGCACCUACGCCAACCCCAAGGAGUGGGGCCGUGCCCCACUCAGGGACAUGUUCCUCUCGGACGAGGACAGCGUCUCCCGUGCCACGCUGGCUGCCGAGCCUGCCCACUCGGAGGUCAGCACCGAUUCAGGCCACGACUCCUUGUUUACCCGCCCCGGCCUGGGUACCAUGGUGUUUCGAAGGAACUAUGUGAGCAGCGGCUUGCACGGGCUGGGCCGAGAGGACGGGGGCUUGGAUGGAGCAGGCACGCCGCGGGCUCGGCUGCAUAGUUCCCCCAGCCUGGACGACGACAGCCUGGGCAGUGCCAACAGCUUGCAGGAACGCAGUUGCGGGGAAGAGUUGCCUUGGGAUGAGCUAGACUUGGGUUUGGAUGAGGACCUGGAGCCGGAGACCAGCCCCUUGGAGACCUUCCUGGCCUCGCUGCACAUGGAGGACUUUGCCUCCCUCCUGCGGCACGAGAAGAUCGACCUGGAGGCCCUGAUGCUGUGCUCGGACCUCGACCUACGCAGCAUCAGCGUGCCACUGGGGCCUCGGAAGAAGAUCCUGGGGGCCGUGCGGAGGCGCAGGCAGGCUCUGGAGCGACCUCUGGCUCUGGAGGACACGGAGCUGUGAGUUUUGUAUGGAGGAGAGGUCCAACAGCAGUCUUGGAGGCACAGUCGUGGUUUUAGAAGCAAUCAUUGCUGCCCAAGCCAUUCUCUGCUCCUACCCAUUACAGCAUCCCACAAACCCACUGCCCACUGCCCAUGAGAGGGGUCCUCUCUUCACACCAAAUGAGUUGCAAGUUGCCACAACCCACGGUGGGCCAAGAGGUCCUCACCAUCGCCAUUCCAGCUGUCCCUUCUCUAGGAGCAAGGGUCACUCGGGUCAUUUCCCUUGGAAGCCUGGUCUGCAGUCCGGAGCAGAGGCGUAGCCUGAAAGCACCCGGAGAGACCACAGCACUCCAGAGCCCCACUUCUGAGGGGUGUUGGAGCCCUGCUUCUGAGGGGUGUUGGAGCCCCCACCCCUCCAGCCACCUUCCUUGAAAAGCCCUGAAUUACAAGAGGAUUGGUGGAGGGUCAGCCCCAGAAGGAGAUCAGGGGGGGCUGAUUGACAUCACAGCUGAGGUAGAGAGAGAGCAGGGGGGAGCUUGCCCAGUCACAGCUCCAUCACCUGCUCCAUCUGUCCUCUCCAGCCUUCUGCGGGUGUCUGGGGGUUCCUGUUCUUUCUCGGGCUGGAAACCUGUUGCUUCCUAGUUGCUAUAACAGAAGAGUUUGGGGGCCCCCUCCUCACGUCCCCAAGAAGGAGGUCCCCAGCCAGACUCUUCAGCCAAAUGCUCUUUCUUCCGCUCCCCAGCACAUUCCCUCGUCCAGAAGGCCAGUCCCCUCUUCAGCCACUGGCCAUGGCCACAGCUGGGAAGCCGGGCUGGGGUAGGCUGGAGUAAUCAGUACUCCUUUCAGCUCAUUCUGGGAGCCCAGACUGUCUCCUUUAGCUUCACCCCACUCCACUAUGAAGCCUGGUCUCCCCAGGGCUUUCAGAGGACCAGGGUCCUAGACACAAGGUACAGCAGAAUCGUGUCCCCGCCCAGGCCUGGAAGUCACAGCUGUCUGUAGAAUGGUAUCCGCUAACUGCCUCAGCGUCUCCCAGGCCUAGACAGGCAGGGGCUGGACACAGUCUGUGUCAGGCCCGGGCUGGGAAAGAUCUUGGGGGAUGUAGAGAGCCUGAGGUCCUGAUUGUGCCCAGGUUCCCAAAGCGUUCUCUCUCUCCCUCUCCCUCUCCCUCUCCCUCUCUCUCCCUC
This is an RNA transcript of Mastomys coucha (southern multimammate mouse), 2849 nucleotides long. It is a transcript of the gene named USH1 protein network component sans, with no coding region annotated. Lineage: Eukaryota; Metazoa; Chordata; Mammalia; Rodentia; Muridae. The record is from RefSeq and is a predicted model, not a curated record. The transcript has 4 exons.